This 64-nucleotide microRNA precursor is filed under the name Gorilla gorilla gorilla (western lowland gorilla). Its description in RNAcentral is "mir-3689 microRNA precursor family". It matches the Rfam family "mir-3689 microRNA precursor family". The record is from Rfam by way of RNAcentral. Lineage: Eukaryota; Metazoa; Chordata; Mammalia; Primates; Hominidae.
GGGAGGUGUGAUACCGUGUUUCCUGGGAGGUGUGAUUCCUGGGAGGUGUGAUCCCGUGCUUCCU